Molecule: non-coding RNA, 21 nt
Organism: Caenorhabditis elegans
Lineage: Eukaryota; Metazoa; Nematoda; Chromadorea; Rhabditida; Rhabditidae
Source: Ensembl
UUUCGCAAGACAAAAAACCUC